This 105-nucleotide small nuclear RNA is filed under the name Chinchilla lanigera (long-tailed chinchilla). The record is from RNAcentral. Lineage: Eukaryota; Metazoa; Chordata; Mammalia; Rodentia; Chinchillidae.
ACAUUCACUUUGGCAAGAUAUAUACUAAAACUGGAAUAAUACAGAGAAAAUUAGCAUGAACUCUAUGCAAAGACAACACAAAUUUAUGACAUGUUCCAUAUUUUA